UCCUUGAGCUUCUCGGCCAGCAAGUCGGC
This 29-nucleotide small RNA is filed under the name Bombyx mori (domestic silkworm). RNAcentral describes it as "piRNA piR-bmo-1767078". The record is from RNAcentral. Lineage: Eukaryota; Metazoa; Arthropoda; Insecta; Lepidoptera; Bombycidae.